This 447-nucleotide ribosomal RNA is filed under the name uncultured bacterium. RNAcentral's name for it is "bacterial SSU rRNA". It matches the Rfam family "Bacterial small subunit ribosomal RNA", at positions 355 to 825 of the family's 1533-position model. The record is from RNAcentral.
UGGGGAAUCUUGCACAAUGGGGGAAACCCUGAUGCAGCGAUGCCGCGUGAACGAUGAAGCCCUUCGGGGUGUAAAGUUCUUUCGGCAGGAACGAUAAUGACGGUACCUGAAGAAGAAGCUGCGGCUAACUACGUGCCAGCAGCCGCGGUAAUACGUAGGCAGCAAGCGUUGUUCGGAGUUACUGGGCGUAAAGAGUACGUAGGCGGUUUGCCAAGUUUGGUGUGAAAUCUCCUGGCUUAACUGGGAGGGUGCGCCGAAUACUGGCAGACUUGAGUAUUGGAGAGGAAAGCGGAAUUCCUGGUGUAGCGGUGAAACGCGUAGAUAUCAGGAGGAACACCGGUGGUGUAGACGGCUUUCUGGACAAUCACUGACGCUGAGGUACGAAAGCGUGGGUAGCAAACAGGAUUAGAUACCCAAGUAGUCCCUGAGCGGGCUGGCAAGGCGCAU